This is a long non-coding RNA of Carcharodon carcharias (great white shark), 600 nucleotides long. RefSeq lists it as uncharacterized. The record is from RefSeq and is a predicted model, not a curated record. Lineage: Eukaryota; Metazoa; Chordata; Chondrichthyes; Lamniformes; Lamnidae. The transcript has 4 exons.
CGCCGUGUGUGCAUGUGAACAGCGGUCCAAACUCAGUGUGAAAUGGUGAGUGAUGACAUCAGGAGGGCUUCCCGAUGUCAUCGUGCCAUCUUGCAACAUUUCGGUUGGUGGGCACACGUGAAUAUCGGAAGCGUGCCUGCCACGUUAAAGGGCCAAUUAAGGCCAUUAAAAGGCUAAUCGUCCUGGAUUUUGAGAGGCCUGUGUGCUUUUAUGCUUGGUGCAUGGGCCAAUUGGAGAGGUGGGCUACACAUUUUUUCAACUUUUUGGAUCCAGGACCAUAAGGAAUAGUGAGAUGAAGAGAUUAAGUGCCUGCCAGCAGAUAAUUAGGAUGGGCUGUUUCCUGACCAUAUAUAAGUGGCAUGCACCUGGCGAGCUUCGUUUUGACAAUGGCUUCGAGCAUUCCAUAGUUCCAUGACUGCUGGACAUGUAGCCACCAUAUAAAGGGUGUCAAAUUUCCCAACCAGGUUCAAAACGACCGCUGAAGCUGUCUAGGCUGACACAGGAAGAAUGGCUAUUUGGCUGAGGCAGCAGAAGCUAUUACCACCUGGAAAUACACGUUGAAACACAAGUCACAGCUUUUUGAAGAAAAGGCAAAAAAUG